RNAcentral lists this ribosomal RNA (277 nucleotides) under uncultured Staphylococcus sp. RNAcentral describes it as "partial 16S ribosomal RNA". It matches the Rfam family "Bacterial small subunit ribosomal RNA", at positions 84 to 355 of the family's 1533-position model. Lineage: Bacteria; Bacillati; Bacillota; Bacilli; Caryophanales; Staphylococcaceae. The record is from RNAcentral.
CUUUGACGUUAGCGGCGGACGGGUGAGUAACACGUGGGUAACCUACCUAUAAGACUGGGAUAACUUAGGGAAACCGGAGCUAAUACCGGAUAAUAUUUCGAACCGCAUGGUUCGAUAGUGAAAGAUGGUUUUGCUAUCACUUAUAGAUGGACCCGCGCCGUAUUAGCUAGUUGGUAAGGUAACGGCUUACCAAGGCGACGAUACGUAGCCGACCUGAGAGGGUGAUCGGCCACACUGGAACUGAGACACGGUCCAGACUCCACGGGAGGCAGCAGCC